This is a long non-coding RNA of Canis lupus familiaris (dog), 5416 nucleotides long. RefSeq lists it as uncharacterized. The transcript is spliced from 3 exons. NCBI's taxonomy places the organism in Eukaryota, Metazoa, Chordata, Mammalia, Carnivora, Canidae. The record is from RefSeq and is a predicted model, not a curated record.
UCUCAAGUAGACCCUAUUUAUUGGGCCCUAUUUUAUGGACGGGGAAACAGGCUCACAGAAGCAAAAUACCUUGCUUAACGGCUCCUAACUAUUUAAGAGGUGGGGCCAAGGGGUGAACCUGCUGACUCCAGGCUGAACUUAACCACUCUACCGAUCCGUCAUCCAACAGAGGCUUCUGGUCACAGAAUCCCCUGGCUGUGGUGCUCUUGGCUGGAUCGAAAUGGGCUGGGGAGGGGGUAAGAGGCCUGUGCCGACAGCUUCCGGGUUCCGCUGCCCGCCCGGGGGCCUCGGAUAUGAUGUGAUCCUCAGGCACAAGCUCUGUGCUGCCAUCUUCCAUGCUAACAACCUCUCCUUCCCUGGAGGCCCUGGACAAGCAGCGCUGUGCUCCAGUGACCAAGCCAACUGGCCCUUUAUCCUUGGGGCUGUGCAGCCCUGUUUUUAGACGAGUGACCCAACAGCCUGCAGUUGCAGGAGCGAAGAGGUGAGGAGGAAGAAGGUGAAGGUGUGCAGUUUGGGGCAAACCUCCCCCAGAAGGCCCUAGGAGAGAAGGCAGCAUCGGCCAGUGAGUGGGAGGGGAGUGGCUGCGUCCAGGCCUCGGCAGAGCCCACAGUCAGCUUGUGCUCAACUCAGCCCUUACCUCUGCUCCGGGCCGACCACUGCUGCCUGGGGGACCCGGUUUCCCACAGUCACCCUGGAAGAGAGAGGGCCAGCUGGAGCGCCACAGACCUCUGCUGGUCUCCUCCGGCCUCAUGUUGACCCCACAUCCGAGGAGUCCUGCUCCCUGCCCCGCCUCCAGCCAGCAGCACCCUCGAUGCCCUCAGGCUGGUGGACGGCGAGGCCUGACCCAAUCUGCUGGCACUGUGGUCUCAGGAGGCUCGGACGCAGGGAUGGCAUCUCAGCCAAGGCUCAGUGGCACGGGCACUCCUGCAAGGAGCAUAACCCCCAUAUCUGCCUGGGGUCAGGCCUUGAGGAGAGCUGAGAACACCUGCUCGGCAGAAGUCACCAGGCCCUCACCUUUGGUCCUGGGAGGCCAGGGUGUCCUGUUUUUCCCUUGAAGCCCUGGAAGAAAAAGUGGGAAGCUGCUACAGGCCCUCGUCUCAAGCAGAGGCCACUUCCCUUGCCUCCUUCCUCAGGUUGAACAAAUCAGACCCCUCCAAAAUCCUAACAUGGUCCUCAGAGGAUCUGGACUUGAGCUGCCCCACCCACCAAGGAGAGCUCACACCUGCUCAGCUUUGGGACUUCCCAGCUCCUCCUUGCAGCUCAACUUACCGGGGGUCCCAUGAGUCCGGGGGGGCCAGCGGGACCAGGGUCCCCCUAGAGAAAAGACAGGAUGCCCACUCAUUCACCACUGCCUUCCUUCUCUCCAGGCCCCACCUCCACCCCCAGGAUAGAGGGAAUGUCACAGGAGGUGGAGGGAAGAAUCUUGAGCCCGGAUCGGCCUCUGACUGGCUGUGGACCCUCAGUGAAUCUCACUUCUCUCUAGAAUCCCAAUUUUUCUUCUUUGGGGACAGAAUGGUGUAGAUCUUGAUGCUCUGCCCUUCGCGACUCCCCAUCCCUUUCAGAUGCCCCAGCAAAACCAGAUCCAAGGAGCCAGGGUGAUUCCAGUCUUUCCGUAUCUGCAGCCUACUCUUCCUGACACCCAGCCUAGUAUCUUUAGCUGCCUGGGCUUCUGGAUGUCGAUCCACUCCCUUGGCUGUCUGCCUUUGGUGAGACCCAGCUCAUCCAACCUGGUUAAGGCCACCAGGAGAACUGAAGAACCCAGGGGCUCUGGUGCCAUCAGAGCAGUGGGGCGAGAAGCAGAUGGAAGGAAGGCAGCUCAUCUGGGUUCUGUUGACUUUGGCUCUUGGAAGAGGAAGAAGGAAAGGGGUACCUAUCAUCUCACCCUCAAGCCAGGCUUGCCGUCCUUCCCAUCCAGACCAUCCAGGCCAGCAGGGCCCUAGAAAGAGGAAAAAGGCAUAUCUGCAUACUUGUGCUGGAGCCCUAGGAGGCAAGAGGCCUGACCAAGCCCUUUCACCCUAUCCACCCCUCACCCAACUCCCGCCCCAACUAAGCACGCACAUGCACCCCUAUGCACACAUGCACACAGCUCACAUGCUCACCUGAAUCCCAGGAGAUCCUGGUGGCCCAGGGGGACCAGGCAUGCCUGGUGGGCCUCGAAUCCCUUCACUGCCCUGGAAAGAAGCCCACCCCACAACAAAGUCAGCAGGGCCUCGUCCCGCUGGGUGCUGGGCAUUGGGACGAGGCACUGGGCACUGGGUUCUGAUGAUUACCGGAAAUCAGGACAGCUGGUUUCCAGCCCCACUUCUGUUCUGGCCUAACUGGAUAUACUCCACAGCACUCCCCAGGAGGAUCUGUCUUCAUCUGCAAAGCAGCCCCCUUCCCACACUGUUCCACGAGGAAGGGACAGAGCCUAUUCAGUCUAGCAUCUUCUUCGGGUUUGAUUCAGAGACUCAAUGGGUGCUCAACUAAAGGCACACAUUCAGUUCACGUCGGUCCCAACAUCCCAAGCACUAUAUAGCCUCUGAUCUUUCCAGAUGAAAAAAAGGUGGCCCCUGUCCUCAAGAAGCUCACAGUCACUUUCAGAAGAGGGAGCGGCUCACUCCGGCCAGGGGUCAGGGAAAGUAUCACAGAAGCAUCACCAGACACUAGACUCUGAAGCAUAGCUGGGAUUUGGACAAGUUGGGGAAGGACAAAAGGGCAAGCCAGAGGGAACUUCAGAGAAGGAUACAGAUUUGGAAGUGGUCAUUUGCCUGGGGGGCCCAUGUGAGGGAUGGGGUGGGAGGUAAGGCCGGAGAAAGGUAGGGCCUAAAUGGGGGGCAUGCCCUGAACACUGUGCUAGACUCUAUCUAACAGACCAGUGCUUUUCAAACUGUACUUCUCAGAGCCCUUGACGUUCCUGGAGGAGCGUCAGAGAUGGGUGCACGAAGUGGGACCCCAGAGAGUGGACCCAAACCCCUUGCCCCUGCCUUAGCCAGAGCGGCUCCACUCGUGUCUGUUUUAUACAUUGAAGGUUCACGUGAGCUCCUGUGUGAUGAAAGGGCCCGGGGACUUCAAAAUAAAGUCUGGGAACCACUGCUCCAGGUACUGGGGAGCCACCGACUGUUCAAAGCAGGGAAAUGAUGAGAAUCAACGUGUGAACUAGAAUGUUUACUGGAGAAGGGAGGGGGCAGCUUGGUGUGGAGGGCUGCCACGUAGCCUAGUGGAAAGGGAGUGGCUGCUCUGGUGCAGUGGCUGAGGACCCGCCAAGGGGAAAUGAUCCAGCUAGAGACCCCCUCCAUGGGGGGUGGGGAGGAGAGUCCCCUGUGGCAUUGCAAUGCCACCAGCUACCAGGAGGGGUCAGCACAGCCCCAGAAAAUGUCAGUCCCAUGGGGCGUGGAGUGGGGAACCCCUGGCCAGGGGUUUGGGAUUCUCUGCAGUGAACAGCCUAAGGAGAGCAGGCAAGGACUGGGGCACGGAGCCAGCCCGGAAGGCUCUGGACAGGGGCUGCCACCUGGGUCCUCCACAAAGAGCCACCACCACCUCCACCAUGACUGAUAGGUGCAGGCUCUGGGGAGGCAGGGAGGCACACCCAGCCUCUCUGGGCCUCAUGGCCUCACCAGGACAGUGAGAAGUUAGACCAGGGUGGCCCUUUUGCAAGUCCCUUCUAGCUCUGACAGCUAUGCUAUGAGUGUUUUCCGACGAAAGAGGCUCCACCCAUGGUUGCAGGUCUCCUGCCUCUCCCCUUGGGUCAUGAGCCCCCCACCCCAAGCUUAGAAGUCAUUUCGGGCCUCAUUAUACUACCCAGGCAUCACAUCUGGGGAGCCCAGAGGCUGGGCAGAGACAGGAAUGUCAGCCCCCAGACCAAGGCAGAGCUAGUCUCCAAACGAGCAAGUCAAACCCAGGGGCAGCUGGUGUGGGGGCUCCCCAGGCUGCCUGACCCUUGUCACCAGCUCACGGGCCAUGCCUGCCCUCUCUGGGCCCUUGGAGACAAUCUGAGCAGGUUCUAUGCCUGUUGUUGUCAGACCUGGAAGGUGAAUGGCCAGAGCUGCUCUGGCUUCAGGGCUUAGGGGCUUAGGGAGUUUGGGUUUGCAGUCUGGAUGUGCUUCCCUACUCCCUGCAGCUCCUCCUCCUUGCCCUGGAGACAAAGCCAGCCCACUGUGCUCUAGUCACCUCCUCUCACACGCCUCCCUGCGCCCCACUGCGUCCUCCCCAGCCCCUGCUCCCAGCAGGCAUCCUGGGCUUAGCUGCCAUCCUAGGGCCACUGGUCUGUUGCCCUGUAGUAGACAUAACUGAGAGUCAGUCCUUGAAUUUCCAAAGGCCUGAUAGUGUGUGGGAUGGGGCAUGGUUGCUGCAUGGCUCAGAUUUGUGCCUGUGGAGGACUUGGGGUCCUGCUCACCUUCUCUGCUUGGGGGCCGGGUGGGCCAGGCGCUCCAGCCUUGCCUGGGAAUCCAGGGGGACCCUAUAUCAACAAAGGAGCGGAUGAGAAUGAGAGUGGGGCUGGAGGGACAGCUCCCCUUCCUUCUUCCUCCAGGUCAGCUUCACUGCAGUUAAAGUGAAGCAUUUUGACUUCCUAGAAACACCACCUAGGAGCGUUUCUGCUGGCUGGCCUGCUGCACCAGGGCCCACCCAGGAGGCUCUGCCCUCCAGGUCCUGGCUCCUGGAAUCAGGCCUGGCCACCCAGGCCGUUCCUCCCAUGCCUCUUCCCUCCCCAGGCCCAUCUCCGUCCAGCCUGGCCUGGUCAGGCCUGCCCCUCCCAAAUAGGAUCACAUCAGACAGAGCUGGCUUUGUGUUCUCACUCACCGGUGGGCCGGGAAAGCCUGGCUGGCCUUGAAAUCCCUAGGGGGAAGAAGCAAGGGACAGUUUGCCACGCCGCCCACUCUCUCCCUCCUGGCUGCCCAGAUGGAAAGAGUGACAGGGUGAGGAGGCUGCCUUGAGCCCUGGGGCCUAGCCCCUCCACUCCGCCCAAGAUGACCAGCUGGUGAAACACUAGUCACGAGGUGGGAGGUUACAACUCAAGGACGGGUGAGGGCUGGAGGCUAGAGCUGGUCACCCCUCCACACGUGACGGGGGCCACCAGGGAGAGGACCCAGCCCCUCCUCUGUGCCCACCCCCCGGCCCUCCCCCACUGUCAGGACAGCCAGCUACGUCCUGCGGUCACUCACCUGGUCACCCUUCUCUCCCGAGUUCCCUUGGGGUCCUCGCUCUCCUCGGGGACCCUGUCACCACAGAAAACAAUGCAGCUGGAACCCAGUCUUUCUUCCCUUCGACCCCAGGGCUGGACCAGGACAAGGAGUCCCCAUGUCCACAGUCCCAUGUCCACAGUCCCCAUGUCCACAGUCCACAGUCCCCUUCACUCACCGCUGGGCCUGCGGGACCUGGGAGACCUUCAGAUCCUGGUGGGCCCUGAGCAGACGAAGAGCAGAAUCAGGCAUUCUGA